CGCGUGAGAAUCUACCUUUUAGUGGGGGACAACUCGGGGAAACUCGAGCUAAUACCGCAUAUGUUCUACGGAAUAAAGCAGGGGACCUUCGGGCCUUGCGCUAAAAGAUGAGCUCGCGUGAGAUUAGCUUGUUGGUGAGGUAAAGGCUCACCAAGGCGACGAUCUCUAGCUGGUCUGAGAGGAUGAUCAGCCACACUGGGACUGAGACACGGCCCAGACUCCUACGGGAGGCAGCAGUGGGGAAUAUUGGACAAUGGGGGCAACCCUGAUCCAGCAAUUCCGCGUGUGUGAAGAAGGCCU
RNAcentral lists this ribosomal RNA (300 nucleotides) under uncultured Piscirickettsiaceae bacterium. RNAcentral describes it as "bacterial SSU rRNA". It matches the Rfam family "Bacterial small subunit ribosomal RNA", at positions 114 to 417 of the family's 1533-position model. Lineage: Bacteria; Pseudomonadati; Pseudomonadota; Gammaproteobacteria; Thiotrichales; Piscirickettsiaceae. The record is from RNAcentral.